ACUCAAAUGAAUAGACGGGGGCCCGCACAAGCAGUGGAGCAUGUGGUUUAAUUCGAUGCAACGCGAAGAACCUUACCUGGGCUCGAAAUGUAGAGGACGGCAACAGAAAUGAUGCUUCCCGUAAGGGUCUCUAUAUAGGUGCUGCAUGGCUGUCGUCAGCUCGUGCCGUGAGGUGUUUGGUUAAGUCCAGCAACGAGCGCAACCCUUAUCGUUAGUUGCCAGCGCGUAAUGGCGGGAACUCUAACGAGACUGCCUAGGUUAACUAGGAGGAAGGUGAGGAUGACGUCAAGUCCGCAUGGCCUUUAUGUCCAGGGCUACACACGUGCUACAAUGGUCGGUACAGAAGGCUGCGAAACCGUAAGGCGAAGCAAAUCCUGCAAAACCGAUCUCAGUUCAGAUUGUGGUCUGCAACUCGACCACAUGAAGUUGGAAUUGCUAGUAAUGGCGUGUCAGCAACAACGCCGUGAAUACGUUCCCGGGCCUUGUACACACCGCCCGU
This 499-nucleotide ribosomal RNA is filed under the name uncultured bacterium. RNAcentral's name for it is "partial 16S ribosomal RNA". It matches the Rfam family "Bacterial small subunit ribosomal RNA", at positions 899 to 1397 of the family's 1533-position model. The record is from RNAcentral.